UACGGGGGGGGCAAGCGUUGUUCGGAAUUACUGGGCGUAAAGGGCUCGUAGGUGGCCAACUAAGUCAGACGUGAAAUCCCUCGGCUUAACCGGGGAACUGCGUCUGAUACUGGAUGGCUUGAGUUUGGGAGAGGGACGCGGAAUUCCAGGUGUAGCGGUGAAAUGCGUAGAUAUCUGGAGGAACACCGGUGGCGAAGGCGGCAUCCUGGACCGAUACUGACGCUGAGGAGCGAAAGCCAGGGGAGCAAACGGG
This 253-nucleotide ribosomal RNA is filed under the name uncultured bacterium. RNAcentral's name for it is "partial 16S ribosomal RNA". It matches the Rfam family "Bacterial small subunit ribosomal RNA", at positions 524 to 776 of the family's 1533-position model. The record is from RNAcentral.